Molecule: ribosomal RNA, 253 nt
Filed under: uncultured bacterium
Lineage: Bacteria
Description: partial 16S ribosomal RNA
Rfam family: Bacterial small subunit ribosomal RNA
Source: RNAcentral
UACGAAGGGGGCGAGCGUUGUUCGGAAUUACUGGGCGUAAAGGGUGCGUAGGCGGUCCUUUAAGUUAGAUGUGAAAGCCCAAGGCUCAACCUUGGAAUUGCAUUUAAUACUGAAGGGCUUGAGUUUUGGAGAGGAUAGCGGAAUUCCCAGUGUAGAGGUGAAAUUCGUAGAUAUUGGGAAGAACACCAAUGGCGUAGGCAGCUAUCUGGCCAAAAACUGACGCUGAGGCACGAAAGCGUGGGGAGCAAACAGG